Molecule: non-coding RNA, 301 nt
Organism: Ciona intestinalis (vase tunicate)
Lineage: Eukaryota; Metazoa; Chordata; Ascidiacea; Phlebobranchia; Cionidae
Source: RefSeq, a predicted model, not a curated record
GGUUGGCGUGGUAACGACGAGCAUCGACUGACGACGGGAUUUUAAGGACGACUUCAUUCCUGUGGGUGGGAUUAAUGUAAAGGAGCUUAACGUCGCCGAUAAAGGUGGCCGCGAAUUUUGACGUCGUUCGAUCGGCGACUAAUAGCGGUGGGUCCUUGGCAACCAAACACACAGAAGCGAAUGUAUGUGCGCGUUGCUGUGCGUGUGUGGUCGGAAAUCCUGGUCUGAUGAUGGAACAACCAGUCCCCAAACAAAAUCUUGAACCGCUGGCGAAUCCACCACUACCAGUCGCCCUUCUUCU